UACGUAGGGUGCGAGCGUUGUCCGGAUUUAUUGGGCGUAAAGAGCGUGUAGGCGGCCAUACAGGUCAGCUGUGAAAACUCGAGGCUCAACCUCGAGACGUCGGUUGAAACCGUAUGGCUAGAGUCCGGAAGAGGAGAGUGGAAUUCCCGGUGUAGCGGUGAAAUGCGCAAAUAUCGGGAAGAACACCCGUGGCGAAGGCGGCUCUCUGGGACGGUACUGACGCUGAGGCACGAAAGCGUGGGGAGCAAACAGG
This 253-nucleotide ribosomal RNA is filed under the name uncultured bacterium. RNAcentral describes it as "partial 16S ribosomal RNA". It matches the Rfam family "Bacterial small subunit ribosomal RNA", at positions 524 to 776 of the family's 1533-position model. The record is from RNAcentral.